RNAcentral lists this ribosomal RNA (248 nucleotides) under uncultured bacterium. RNAcentral's name for it is "partial 16S ribosomal RNA". It matches the Rfam family "Bacterial small subunit ribosomal RNA", at positions 523 to 769 of the family's 1533-position model. The record is from RNAcentral.
AUACGUAGGGUGCGAGCGUUAAUCGGAAGUUACUGGGCGUAAAGCGUGCGCAGGCGGUUGUGUAAGUCAGAUGUGAAAUCCCCGGGCUCAACCUGGGAACUGCAUUUGAGACUGCACGGCUAGAGUGUGACAGAGGGGGGUAGAAUUCCACGUGUAGCAGUGAAAUGCGUAGAGAUGUGGAGGAAUACCGAUGGCGAAGGCAGCCCCCUGGGUUACUACUGACGCUCAUGCACGAAAGCGUGGGGAGC